Molecule: long non-coding RNA, 2511 nt
Filed under: Equus caballus (horse)
Lineage: Eukaryota; Metazoa; Chordata; Mammalia; Perissodactyla; Equidae
Description: lncRNA (ENSECAG00000052009.1)
Source: RNAcentral
CCAAAGAGCUAGAAGCAAGAUGCUUUGGGGCCCAACUCGUCCUUUGUAAAGAAGCCUGCACGUUGUGCCUUUCAGCUCUAGGGCAAUGGAGCACACCCAGAGCAGAAGUUCUACUUCAGCCUGAUGAGGCCUGCAAAGAAACUGCGUUUCACAGGCCUUUGUAAGAGAUGUUCCCGGUAGGCUGUAAGAGCACUGUGCAGAGCGAGUUGUUUCUUAGCUUCCCAAAGACCUGGAAGCAAGAUGCUUUGGGGCCCAACUCGCCCUUUGGAAAGAAGCCUGCACGUUGUGACUUUCAGCUCUAGGGCAAUGUAGAACACGCAGAGCAAAAGUUCUACUUCAGCCAUAUGAGGCCUGCAAGGAAACUGCGUUUCACAGGCCUUUGUAAGAGAUGUUCCCGGUAGGCUUCAAGAGCACUGUGCAGAGCGAGUUGUUUCUUAGCUUCCCAAAGAGCUGGAAGCAAGAUGCUGUGGGGCCCAACUCGCCCUUUGGAAAGAAGCCUGCACGUUGUGCCUUUCAGCUCUAGGGCAAUGUAGCACACGCAGAGCAGAAGUUCUACUUCAGGCAAUCAGGCCUGCAAAGAAACUGCGUUUCACAGGCCUUUGGAAGAGAUGUUCCCGGUAGGCUGUAAGAGCACUGUGCAGAGCGAGUUGUUUCUUAGCUUCCCGAAGAGCUGGAAGCAAGAUUCUUUGGGGCCCAACUCGCCCUUUGGAAAGAAGGCUGCACGUUGUGCCUUUCAGCUCUUGGCAAUGGAGCACACCCAGAGCAGAAGUUCUACUUCAGCCAGAUGAGGCCUGCAAAGAAACUGCGUUUCACAGGCCUUUGUAAGAGAUGUUCCCCGUAGGCUGUAAGAGCACUGUGCAGAGCGAGUAGUUUCUUAGCUUCACAAAGACCUGGAAGCAAGAUGCUUUGGGGCCCAACUCGCCCUUUGGAAAGAAGCCUGCACGUUGUGCCUUUCAGCUCUAGGGCAAUGGAGCACACGCAGAGCAGAAGUUCUACUUCAGCCAGAUCAGGCCUGCAAAGAAACUGCGUUUCACAGGCCUUUGUAAGAGAUGUUCCCGGUAGGCUGUAAGAGCACUGUGCAGAGCGAGUUGUUUCUUAGCUUCCCAAAGAGCUGGAAGCAAGAUGCUUUGGGGCCCAACUCGCCCUUUGGAAAGAAGCCUGCACGUUGUGCCUUUCAGCUCUAGGGCAAUGGAGCACACCCAGAGCAGAAGUUCUACUUCAGCCAGAUGAGGCCUGCAAAGAAACUGCGUUUCACAGGCCUUUGUAAGAGAUGUUCCCGGUAGGCUGUAAGAGCACUGUGCACAGCGAGUUGUUUCUUAGCUUCCCAAAGAGCUGGAAGCAAGAUGCUUUGGGGCCCAACUCGCCCUUUGGAAAGAAGCCUUCACGUUGUGCCUUUUAGUUCUAGGGCAGUGGAGCACACCCAGAGCAGAAGUUCUACUUGAACCGGAUCAGGCCUUCAAAGAAACUGUGUUUCACAGGCCUUUGUAAGAGAUGUUCCCGGUAGGCUGUAAGAGCACUGUGCACAGCGAGUUGUUUCUUAGCUUCCCAAAGACCUGGAAGCAAGAUGCUUUGGGGCCCAACUGGACCAUUGGAAAGAAGCCUGCACGUUAUGCCUUUCAGCUCUAGGGCAAUGGAGCACACCCUGAGCAGAAGUUCAACUUCAGCCACAUCAGGCCUGCAAAGAAACUACGUUUCACAGGCCUUUGUAAGAGAUGUUCCCGGUAGGCUUUAAGAGAACUGUGCAGAGCGAGUUGUUUCUUAGCUUCCCAAAGAGCUGGAAGCAAGAUGCUUUGGGGCCCAACUCGCCCUUUGGAAAGAAGCCUGCACGUUGUGCCUUUCAGCUCUAGGGCAAUGUAGCUCACCCAGAGCAGAAGUUCUACUUCAGCCACAUCAGGCCUGCAAAGAAACUGCGUUUCACAGGCCUUUGUAAGAGAUGUUCCCGGUAGGCUGUAAGAGCACUGUGCAGAGCCAGUUGUUUCUUAGCUUCCCAAAGAGCUGGAAGCAAGAUGCUUUGGGGCCCAACUCGCCCUUUGGAAAGGAGAAUGCACGUUAUGCCUUUCAGCUCUAGGGCAAUGGAGCACACCCUGAGCAGAAGUUCUACUUCAGCCAGAUCAGGCCUGCAAAGAAAGUGCGUUUCACAGGCCUUUGUAAGAGACGUUCCCGAUAGGCUGUAAGAGCACUGUGCAGAGCGAGUUGUUUCUUAGCUUCCCGAAGAGCUGGAAGCAAGAUGCUUUGGGGCCCAACUCGCCCUUUGGAAAGAAGCCUGCACGUUGUGCCUUUCAGCUCUUGGCAAUGGAGCACACCCAGAGCAGAAGUUCUACUUCAGCCAGAUGAGGCCUGCAAAGAAACUGCGUUUCACAGGCCUUUGUAAGAGAUGUUCCCGGUAGGCUGUAAAACACCAGUGCAGAGCAAGUUGUUUCUUAGCUGCCCAUUGAGCUGGAAGCCCCACGGUGUUUGCCCUGACUGCCCUUGAGGACACAAGGCAGGACUUUGUGCCUUGCAGCUCCUGGC